Molecule: ribosomal RNA, 460 nt
Filed under: uncultured bacterium
Lineage: Bacteria
Description: partial 16S ribosomal RNA
Rfam family: Bacterial small subunit ribosomal RNA
Source: RNAcentral
CCUACGGGAGGCAGCAGUGAGGAAUAUUGGUCAAUGGCCGGAAGGCUGAACCAGCCAUGCCGCGUGAAGGUCAGUGCCCUAUGGGCGUUAAACUUCUUUUGUGCGGGAGCAAUAAUGGUCACGUGUGGCCAGACGAGAGUACCGUACGAAUAAGCAUCGGCUAACUCCGUACCAGCAGCCGCGGUAAUACGGGGGAUGCAAGCGUUAUCCGGAUUUAUUGGGUUUAAAGGGUGCGUAGGCUGUGAGGUAAGUCAGCGGUGAAAUGCCCCCGCUCAACGGGGUGAAGUGCCAUUGUUACUGCCUGGCUGGAAUGCGGAUGCCGUGGGAGGAAUGUGUGGUGUAGCGGUGAAAUGCAUAGAUAUCACACAGAACACCGAUUGCGAAGGCAUCUCACGAAGCCGCGAUUGACGCUGCUGCACGAAAGCGUGGGUAUCAAACAGGAUUAGAUACCCGAGUAGUC